Molecule: long non-coding RNA, 4607 nt
Organism: Myotis brandtii (Brandt's bat)
Lineage: Eukaryota; Metazoa; Chordata; Mammalia; Chiroptera; Vespertilionidae
Exons: 2
Source: RefSeq, a predicted model, not a curated record
GGAAGCGCGUGAAAGGUCCGGUGGUAAGCUCUCCGCGUGGGUUCCCUUGGCAACCCGGACGCUCUCGCUCUGUCCGGACCGGCGAUCCCAGGAAUCCCCAAAGGACGUUUAUCUCAAUUCCCCACGAUUCCUGGAAAUACCCCGAGACCUCAGAGGUGCUCGGCGCUCCCUGCCGAGGCUUGUCAGCGCCGAUUACUUCCAUCUCACGAAGGAACAGCCACUGGGCUUGCCUCCUCCCGCCCCAGCGUGGCCAGGGGGCCCCGGGUAUCCAGAGGGAAUUCAUAAACAGCCUUGGCCGUGUUGACAGGAAACUGGGCAAAUGGCUUAGGUUACGGGGAAAGGAGGCCUCUGGGAGACUCAGAUGCCAGCUGCUCUCGUCAUCAGCCGGAGAAGCAGCCCCGGGGCCUGGGACGGGCACCUCGGUUCUUCAGCUCCACGUAUAGCGCAGAGCGGAAGCAUCCACGGCCUCGUCUUCGGGUGAAACGGUGACACAUUCCGGCGCCUUUCUUGGCAUCACUUUACUCUCAACAGUCGGACAAGACGAUUCUAAGGAAGGAAUAGCAAGCAUAAGCCCCGGGUGACAGAUAGAAAGAAACUAAAAAUGAAAUUGGUAAGCGAUUUAAGCGACGCAGUGAAUCGGUCCCAGCUGAGUCACCUGGCUUUUUGUCGCCCUGCCUGGAAUGCCGCUGUGGGUUCACACCUCGUAAAGGUAUCACGGGAUCAUGUCCAUUCGGAUUGUCUGUUCUUACUCCUUCAGACUAGUAAUGGCCGUGACAGUGACCACAGAGGCUAACGCUCGGCUCUUCCACGCGGCAGGCUCUGCUGAGUGCUUCGCAGGAAUGAACCCCGGACGCCUCCCGGCCAGCGCCCCUGUCCAGCAGGUGCUGUGUCCACUUGUGUUUCCCAGGUGCUGAGAUGGAGGCACAGAAGAGAGUCUCGGUGACCUGCCCCCUGGUCGCCCGUCACCCCAGGGGCAGAGCUGGGGAGGGACCCGGGGCCCCUGGCUCCACACUUCAGCUCCGCUGCUUCCAUGUCCGUGAGGAUAAGGGAGGAACCGCUUUUGCAAAUUGCUUCUCCCAGAAGGUGGAACCGCAUCACACACAGAGGAGUAACACACCGACUCCUCCAUCUCCCAAGUGAGAAGGAAGGAGGAGCGAGGGGGGAAAGGGAGCCAAGGACAGACAGGACCCACCUGUGGCCCGGGUGCGCGGCCUCUGAGCUAAGCGGGAGGAGGGGGGCGGGGGCGGGGUAAGCCAACGUGAGAGAGGUGCCCGCGACGUCGAACACAAACACCGGGACCCGGGAUUGCGCCCGAACCCGGAUCAUGGGACAGACCCUGCUCUCCAACCCGUCUUCCAGCAACAGGAUCCCAGGGCCAAGUGCGGUAACCGCUGGCCAGCAGAGCGCUCCGGGCGCGGCCAGGACUGCAUGCCAACCGCCGGGCUCCCAAUAUUGUCUUCCAGUUGCUAGACGACGCUGCUUUCCAGUACAUUAUCUGGGGUAUAAAAGCUGAAAUGUAAGUAAAGCAUUUUCAUACAAAUAAUUUCAACCGCAACAAGGCCAUUGGCUUCUGAUGGAGUUGGCAGGAAAAGGUAAUGAACUCACUCCGAUGGACAUAUUCAGCGUUCCUCCGGCCAAGUCCAAUUGGCAGCUUCGUAAUGAUGGAAACGUCCCUGUUAUUUCCACUCCACCAGGGCUAGGCCCGCUGGUAUCUGAUUCAGUGUUUACUUCAUGAAUGAGGUCAGUUCCCAGCACAGCUGGGGUUUCGGCAGAGGGCUCGCGCUGCUGGUCAGCACACAGCGUUCCCACUAGAACCUGACCGGAGCUGACAGGGCUCCCAGGGCCCCCUUCCCGCAGCCUGCCCAGGGUGGCCACUGUCUCUGGCAUUUUCUGGGGUCUGGCCCCGCUCGCUGCUCUGCUAGCCCCUUCCCUGCAGAGGCCGACAGAGCCCGGGCUGCAGCCUGGCACACCGAGGGCACGUCCAAGUUCCCCACAACCCAGCACUCACCCUCCAACUUGCCCCCUUGGUAUUGCGACAUCUCACCCCGUAGGAGCUUCGGAGCUGCCAGGAAACAGGGUAGGUUUGUUUGUUUUGUGUUUUUAAAAUUAUUUAUUCCAGGAUGGCUCCACUUGUGUGGUGAGAGAGUGACUCAGAGUGCCUGGGACGCCACCUCCAAAGGUAACCAUGUCCCACAGGCCGGCGUGUCCCGGGCCAACUCCCCACACUGGUCAAAAACAAAAACAAAAGCUCCCACGGGCCCAGAACACUCCUCUGCACGAGCACACACGUAUGGAGCCGUGUCCUUGCCGCUCGCGGAGGGACUGGGGAAACUGCGGGGCAGUAAGGAAAGGGGGCAGCCCGCAGCCUGACAGGGCUCAGCUCCACGCGGCUUCAGAAGCCGCCAGGGGCGCGCCCGUCCCUGGCCUGUCCCCCCGCGUCCUGAGCCGUGCGAGUGGCCGUGGGCCCCGCGCAGCGUGGGGUUGAAGUCCGAGGCGGCUCCGUGGCGAUUUCUCAUCUCAGUGCCGUCAAGUGGCAGGAGGCUCAGAGAGAGCCAUUGGUUUGGAUCCCAAAGUAACUGGGCAUCAGACGCUCGAGCAGGGUUGCCGAACGAAGUCUGGGGGUGAAGCUGGAGCGGGAGGUGGUUUAAGAACGGGGUGCAAAGGCAGACCCCUGAGGAAGCGCCCCCUUUCUCAGCCUCCACGAGGCACAGUGUGUUCCCAGCGCCACGUUCUCGCCUCCUAACAGGGUGGUGAGACCCUCGGCCGCUGAUGCAGACGCAAGAAUAGAACCGCGUGGAGGAGACGCCGUCCCAGCUUUCUUCCUUAGCCCUGAGCAGGGGCCGUGUUAGGUGAAGACUCGGCGCUCUCCUACCUAAAGGGUCCGUCCGGCUGCCACAGGAGGACGCAGAGCAUCUCUCCCGACUCGAGAGUCGACAUUCCUGUGGGGUCCAGAGAGCCUGCUCAGGGCCAUUCAGGUCCCUGCUCUUCCACGCGUCCUCGAGGCGCAACCUGCCUCAGACCCCAGAUGCUAGGCCGUCACCCCGCUCCUGGCACCCCAGUGCUAGUUCCUGCCAUCAGUCCUGUAGCCUGUCUUAUCCACCGUUGUCCCAGUCACGUCAUCGUAUCACCUACCUGGUCUUUCCCCUCGAAGAUGCUGCUGGAAGUUUUUGAAGAUGGGCCCUAGCAAAGCUCAUUCAUUCGCACUCUCUGGUCCCAUCGCCGACGCUUUCUGCCCGCUCGGCUGCAGCUGCAUGGCCGCCUUGCUGAGACGUGAACUCGCCACUCGCCGACCUCAGGGCCUUGGCACGUGCCAUUCCCUCCGCCUACAACACUCUUUCCAGGUCGUCCACACGGCACCCUCCCUCCUUCCCUCACAUGCCCAACAUUCGGUGAGACCUCCCCACCACCCUGGUCCCUGGUCCCUGCACCUUCCACACACGCCCCCUCCUUCGUGUGAUUUCCCACGAGCUCCCAUCCCCUCGAAAACAGCCCACGCGGCUUGUGUCUUCCUUAUCUGCCUUCCCCACUGGAUGUCAGCUCCACGCAGGCAGGGAAUUUUCACACUUUUAUUCGCUGCCACAGCCCCCCGCCCAGAACCAUACCCGGCGUAUCCACAGGAAUCAAGGCGUGGCCCCUGCACACCAGUCACUCGCCUCAGCCCUGGGCAUUUCUGCCAGUUUCCCCAGUGACUGAGGACUUCACCCUCCGUGAAGCGCUAAGCAAGCUCUUGAAGCUGCAGGAAGCUGCGUGCCGGUUCCCGGGCGAGCCGUGUGGACAGGCCAUGCUCUGCCUCCGCCGCCCCUGCACCGCCCCCGGGACUCUGUGUGCCCCGCUUUCCCAGGGCCCGGCAGGCGGGUCCCUCCAGAGGAAGACAGAGCCUCGGUGACUGAGGAAGGCAGGUGCCCUCCUCCAGGGCCCCGGCUCCUGGCUUCCGUGAGCUCCCGGGAGGAAACCAUCUGCAGGCUGGCGCUCGCUGGUGUGAGCAGAGCUCUCCCUGGUCGGCUGUGGGUGAGGCAGCCUCGCAGGCCGGCGGCCAUUACCCAGGCUUUCCAGACGGCGAUGCUCAAGCCACGGGCAGAGGGACAGCAGCCCGCUGGAACGUCUGGGUAAGGGACACCCGAGGGAGCAGGCCUCCGUCGCCCUCUCGGCCCAGCUGUGACCCUGUAUUUCUCAGCCCACCGUGGUUACACACCGACCCCCCACCCCGGAGACCCGUCCCCGAGGCUCACCCAUCUUUCUGCUUUGAACACUGACAGCUGGUUACCCCUCACAGAUCAGAACGACGUUUCUUUCAUCUGCCUUGAAAAGCCUUUUGUGAGACAGGGAGUGACCCACCAGUAACCUCUCUAUUCCUGUCUGAAGGGGAAAUACUUCCAGAUCAGAGACCGCGCGGCGGUGCCAAGACCGGGCAUAUAUGAAUCCUGGAUUCUGCCUCCCAGGCCCCGUCCCUAACCCCGUGCCAGUCGCCGCUUCAGAAACGAGCUAGCGACGGAGCUGAGCCAUCGCGAAUCGGGGGGGUUGAUUCUUUCCCCCUAUUAAGUCGUUUGAAACCAACGUUUCCACAUUUUGGGGGGUUUGAUGUCAUAAAAUUCCCAUGUCUGACUGCA